Molecule: long non-coding RNA, 214 nt
Organism: Neogale vison (American mink)
Lineage: Eukaryota; Metazoa; Chordata; Mammalia; Carnivora; Mustelidae
Exons: 3
Source: RefSeq, a predicted model, not a curated record
UGCAGGGAGAGCCGGGGCUGGCUCACAGUUGGGAAUCAAGAUGCCUGGACCUGUCUCUUGCCCUCUUCUGCCUCCUGGGUGGUUCUCUCCAGAAGGAAUCAGUAAGACGUCGGGAUGAGGCCCUCAAUCCUGUUUGCUGCCUUCCUCUGGCUCCAGGGUUUCUUGGCCAAGGGAGAUGAGUGUUAUUCCCUGGCCAGGAGCCUGGACGGAGAGA